Molecule: ribosomal RNA, 422 nt
Filed under: uncultured bacterium
Lineage: Bacteria
Description: bacterial SSU rRNA
Rfam family: Bacterial small subunit ribosomal RNA
Source: RNAcentral
UCCACGCUGUAAACUAUGAGAACUCGGUGUAGGAGGAAUCGACCCCUUCUGUGCCUUAGCUAACGCGUUAAGUUCUCCGCCUGGGUAGUACGGUCGCAAGACUAAAACUCAAAGGAAUAGACGGGGACCCACACAAGCGGUGGAGCAUGUGGUUCAAUUCGACGGUAAACGAGGAACCUUACCUAGGUUUGACAUCUCGGGAACCCUGAGGAAACUUGGGGGUGCCGUAAGGAACCCGAAGACAGGUGCUGCAUGGUUGUCGUCAGCUCGUGCCUUGAGGUGUUUGGUUCAGUCCAUAAACGAGCGCAACCCUCGUCCUGUGUUGUAUAUUUCGCAGGAGACUGCCGGCGCAAAGUCGGAGGAAGGUGAGGACGACGUCAAAUCAGCAUGGCCCUUAUACCUAGGGCUACACACGUGCUACA